RNAcentral lists this ribosomal RNA (779 nucleotides) under uncultured Neocallimastigales. RNAcentral's name for it is "partial large subunit ribosomal RNA". It matches the Rfam family "Eukaryotic large subunit ribosomal RNA", at positions 24 to 649 of the family's 3401-position model. Lineage: Eukaryota; Fungi; Neocallimastigomycota; Neocallimastigomycetes; Neocallimastigales. The record is from RNAcentral.
UUAUCUCUGUAGAGUCUGCAUAUCAAUAAGCGGAGGAAAAGAAACUAACUAGGAUUCCCCUCAGUAACGGCGAGUGAAGCGGGAAGAGCUCAAAUUUGAAAUCUUCAAGGGUUUACCAUUACGAAUUGUAGUUUAAAGAAGUGUUUUCUGUUGGAGUUUCGGUAAAAGUUCUUUGGAAUAGGACAUCAUAGAGGGUGAGAAUCCCGUAUUUGACCAGUUACUUUCCAGCUGUGUGAUACACUUUCAAAGAGUCGGAUUGUUUGGGAAUGCAGUCCAAAAUGGGUGGUAAAUUUCAUCUAAAGCUAAAUAUUGGCGAGAGACCGAUAGCGAACAAGUACCGUGAGGGAAAGAUGAAAAGAACUUUGAAAAGAGAGUUAAACAGUACGUGAAAUUGUCAAAAGGGAAGCGUUUGACACCAGUGUUGUUUAGCUCGAAAAUCAAUUAAAAAAGAUUGGAUUUUGUGUUGUAUUGACUUUAUCAGCUUUCUGCACUCUUUUCUUGUCUUUUUUAAUGCACUUUUCGUUUAACAAGUCAACAUCAAUUUCUUUUGUUGUAAAAGGGUCAUUGGAAGGUGGCUUUCUUUUCGGAGAAAGUGUUUAUAGCCUUUGGCUUCUGCAAUCGGAGAGAUUGAGGUCUGCAGCGUAGAUCCUUCGGGGUUAGAUACAUUUGUGCUAAGUUAUAGCCUUUCAUAGACAACUUGUUGACUAUGAUCAGUCAUGUAGCUUACUCGCUUAUGCUAUUUUACCUACGCUUAGGAUGUUGAGUAGCGACAUACGCAC